GGAAACUGAAUGGAGGCCGAUGUGAUGUUAUCAAAAGGACUUGAAAUUUGUCAAUUCCACCAGGCUGGCUGAGCAGCCAGUGAGCCCCAGGCACAUGCCCAUCCCGACCUCCCCAGGCCUCGGAUUACAGACUGGGUCUCACUGAAUUGCGCAGAAGACCUGAAAGUCACUCUGUAGCUCAGGCAGGGCUUGAACUUGGGUCCUCCAGGCGGAAUCUCCCGAGAUGAACCACCCGCAUCACCAAAGGCACCUUGCAGACUCCGGAACACACAACGACCUCUCCAGGGAAGUGAAAGGCAAACAGGGAAGCUCUUCAGCCUUGGAAACUUAAUCAUUCUAGAACCUUCUAGCUACAUUGAAGCCUGACAUUUGCUAUUUGAGCACAGGAGGGAGGGAAAGAGACUCCCAAGUCCAGGGCCAGCCUGCCUGCAGAGGGCCUGCUUCACCGACUGCCACACAGGAGUCUCCCUGCCUCUGCUCCUUCAAUGGUUUUUCAAAGCACGGCUUUAAAAACAGCUCCUCAG
Mus musculus (house mouse) is the source of this 524-nucleotide long non-coding RNA. RefSeq annotates it as predicted gene, 39999. NCBI's taxonomy places the organism in Eukaryota, Metazoa, Chordata, Mammalia, Rodentia, Muridae. The transcript is spliced from 3 exons. The record is from RefSeq and is a predicted model, not a curated record.